This 253-nucleotide ribosomal RNA is filed under the name uncultured bacterium. RNAcentral describes it as "partial 16S ribosomal RNA". It matches the Rfam family "Bacterial small subunit ribosomal RNA", at positions 524 to 776 of the family's 1533-position model. The record is from RNAcentral.
UACGUAGGGGGCAAGCGUUGUCCGGAAUCAUUGGGCGUAAAGCGCGUGUAGGCGGUCCGGUAAGUCCGCUGUGAAAGUCGGGGGCUCAACCCUCGGAUGCCGGUGGAUACUGUCGGGCUUGAGUACGGAAGAGGCGAGUGGAAUUCCUGGUGUAGCGGUGAAAUGCGCAGAUAUCAGGAGGAACACCAAUUGCGAAGGCAGCUCGCUGGGACGUGACUGACGCUGAGACGCGAAAGCGUGGGGAGCAAACAGG